RNAcentral lists this non-coding RNA (30 nucleotides) under Mus musculus (house mouse). The record is from RNAcentral. Lineage: Eukaryota; Metazoa; Chordata; Mammalia; Rodentia; Muridae.
UCCUUGAUGACCCGGUCCUUUGGGAGGUGU